This is a long non-coding RNA of Lolium perenne, 880 nucleotides long. RefSeq lists it as uncharacterized. Lineage: Eukaryota; Viridiplantae; Streptophyta; Magnoliopsida; Poales; Poaceae. The record is from RefSeq and is a predicted model, not a curated record.
GGUUAUGUCUGUCUCCACGCCACUUAAUUAACAUGGACUCCUUGGCGCUUCUAGUCUGCUAGAGCUACGGGCUCUCGAACAGUUGUUUCAUAUCCAUGUCAGAAGGCAAAGAUUUCCAAUUGUACCUAUGCAUGUGUUGUUCAAGGGACGGCUUGGACUAUUGGAAUGGUACUUCGCGAGUCGCUCUCCAUGAGAUCGAGUCUAUAUAUUAUCAAUCAAUCUCCAUCAACAUGAAUCUUCCUUGCGGGACAAGUACUUGACGAUCUAUAUAUAUGUAUAUACGAACUACCGAGGUUAUUCCCAAGGCAAGGCAAAGUAGCCCCCUGCAUUAGUCUCUUCCACACUUUACACAAUUACAGUCAUUGUUAUGGGGAGAUAUUUGUGUACAACUGCAGGAGCUUUGGUAAUCCUUGCAAUCAUAUGGUGCUCCCUGUGGUGCUCAUCAGCCAUCCGAGUACAACAGGAAGGAGACCGUCCGCCAUCUGCUCCUCCGGCGCCGAUACCUGGGCCACCAGUUGGCUGCCGGGCCACCGCAUGCGAAGGGCCACCGGGGACGACGGCAGUUGAAGCGCCGCAGCGCAAGACCCUGCAGCUGCAGGAUGUGGCGAAUUGAACGUCCCUUACGGUUUUGUAUGAGACAUAUUUUAGGGGUACUGAUGUAUGGUAAUCAUAUUUUAUGAUACAUGUUUUAGGGGAGCUUGAAUCUAGAAAGAUAUAGCUUACGCACCCAACCGUUUUAGGGGUGCUGAUGUUCAUAGCUAUAAGUAUAUUUUGUAUGGUAAUCGUAUUCUAUUCGUGAAUUUUAAAUAGCAAGUAAGCAUUUCUAAGGAUACGAGGCGGGAGAUCAACCUUUAAGGCGGUUCUCAUCAUGUGUUUCACA